GAUGAACGCUGGCGGCGUGCCUAAUACAUGCAAGUCGAGCGAACGGACGAGAAGCUUGCUUCUCUGAUGUUAGCGGCGGACGGGUGAGUAACACGUGGAUAACCUACCUAUAAGACUGGGAUAACUUCGGGAAACCGGAGCUAAUACCGGAUAAUAUUUUGAACCGCAUGGUUCAAAAGUGAAAGACGGUCUUGCUGUCACUUAUAGAUGGAUCCGCGCUGCAUUAGCUAGUUGGUAAGGUAACGGCUUACCAAGGCAACGAUGCAUAGCCGACCUGAGAGGAUGAUCGGCUACACUGGAACUGAGACACGGUCCAGACUCCGACGGGAGGCAGCAGUAGGGAAUCUUCCGCAAUGGGCGAAAGCCUGACGGAGCAACGCCGCGUGAGGGAUGAAGGUCUUCGGAUCGUAAAACUCUGUUAUUAGGGAAGAACAUAUGUGUAAGUAACUGUGCACAUCUUGACGGUACCUAAUCAGAAAGCCACGGCUAACUACGUG
This 497-nucleotide ribosomal RNA is filed under the name uncultured bacterium. Its description in RNAcentral is "partial 16S ribosomal RNA". It matches the Rfam family "Bacterial small subunit ribosomal RNA", at positions 28 to 507 of the family's 1533-position model. The record is from RNAcentral.